This 1513-nucleotide ribosomal RNA is filed under the name Clostridioides difficile. RNAcentral's name for it is "partial 23S ribosomal RNA". It matches the Rfam family "Bacterial large subunit ribosomal RNA", at positions 1 to 1525 of the family's 2925-position model. The record is from RNAcentral. Lineage: Bacteria; Bacillati; Bacillota; Clostridia; Peptostreptococcales; Peptostreptococcaceae.
GGUCAAGUUAUUAAGGGUGCAGGGCGGAUGCCUUGGCACUAGGAGCCGAUGAAGGACGUGAUAAGCUGCGAUAAGCUUCGGGGAGUUGCACGUAAACUUUGAUCCGAAGAUUUCCGAAUGAGGAAACUCACUUAGAGUAAUGUCUAAGUAUCAUUAAGUGAAUACAUAGCUUAAUGAGGGGAACUCAGGGAACUGAAACAUCUAAGUACCUGAAGGAAGAGAAAGAAAUUCGAUUCCGUAAGUAGCGGCGAGCGAACGCGGAUUAGCCCAAACCAAUAAAGUUUUCUUUAUUGGGGUUGCGGACAUAUCAUAACGAAGAGGUAUCGUAAUUGAAGAGGUUUGGAAAGACCCACCACAGAAGGUAAUAGUCCUGUAUGUUAAACGAGAAGACUUCAGAUAUGAUCCAGAGUACCACGGGACACGUGAAACCCUGUGGGAAGCAGGAGGGACCACCCUCCAAGGCUAAAUACUACCUAGUGACCGAUAGCGUAUAGUACCGUGAGGGAAAGGUGAAAAGAACCCCGGGAGGGGAGUGAAAUAGAACCUGAAACCCUGCACUUACAAGCUGUGGAAGCACAUUUCUUGUGUGACCGCGUACUUUUUGUAGAACGGGCCAACGAGUUACGUUAAGUAGCAAGGUUAAGCACUUAAGGUGCGGAGCCGUAGCGAAAGCGAGUUUUAACUGAGCGUUCAGUUACUUGACGUAGACCCGAAACCGGGCGACCUACCCAUGAGCAGGAUGAAGCGAAAGUAAAAUUUCGUGGAGGUCCGAACCCACGAGCGUUGAAAAGCUCGGGGAUGACUUGUGGGUAGCGGUGAAAUUCCAAUCGAGCCCGGAGAUAGCUGGUUCUCCCCGAAAUAGCUUUAGGGCUAGCCUCAAGGUGAGAGAUACGGAGGUAGAGCACUGAAUGUCCUAGGGGGUAUUGCACCUACCGAAGACUAUCAAACUCCGAAUGCCGUCAUCUUAUACUUGGGAGUCAGACUGUGGGUGAUAAGAUUCAUAGUCGAAAGGGCAACAGCCCAGAUCGUCAGCUAAGGUCCCUAAAUGUAAGUUAAGUGGUAAAGGAUGUGGGAUUGCACAGACAACCAGGAUGUUGGCUUAGAAGCAGCCACUCAUUCAAAGAGUGCGUAAUAGCUCACUGGUCGAGUGAUCCUGCGCCGAAGAUUUCCGGGGCUAAAACUUACUACCGAAGCUACGGCAUCAGUAAUGAUGGGUAGGGGAGCUUCCCAUACGGGUUGAAGCAUGACCGUAAGGACAUGUGGACAGUAUGGGAGUGAGAAUGUUGGCAUGAGUAGCGAGAUGUGGGUGAGAAUCCCACAGGCCGUAAACCCAAGGUUUCCAGGGGAAGGUUCGUCCGCCCUGGGUUAGUCGGGACCUAAGCUGAGGCCGAAAGGCGUAGGUGAUGGACAACAGGUUGAUAUUCCUGUACUACCGAUAACCGUUUGAGAGAAGGGAUGACACAGUAGGAUAAGCUAAGCACACUGUUGGUUAUGUGUGCCCAAGCAUUGAGGC